AUGAAAGGAGAACUGAUCAAAAUCAGCUGGGGAGCCAAAGCUCCUAGUUCCUUCAGGGAAGGGACCACCUUCAGGGAAGGGACCACCUUCAGGGACCAUCCUCAGGGACCAUCCUCAGGGACCCACCUUCAGGGAAGGGACCAUCUUCAGGGACCACCUUCAGGGAAGGGACCAUCUUCAGGGACCACCUUCAGGGACCACCUUCAGGAAGGGACCAUCUUCAGGGAGGACCAUCUUCAGGGACCAUCUUCAGGGGACCACCUUCAGGGACCACCUUCAGGGAAGGGACCAUCUUCAGGGAAGGGACCAUCUUCAGGGAAGGGACCAUCUUCAGGGAAGGGACCAUCUUCAGGGACCACCUUCAGGGACCACCUUCAGGGAAGGGACCAUCUUCAGGGAAGGGACCACCUUCAGGGAAGGGACCAUCUUCAGGGACCACCUUCAGGGAAGGGACCAUCUUCAGGGACCACCUUCAGGGACCAUCUUCAGGGAAGGGACCAUCUUCAGGGACCACCUUCAGGGAAGGGACCAUCUUCAGGGACCACCUUCAGGGACCACCUUCAGGGAAGGGACCAUCUUCAGGGACCACCUUCAGGGACCAUCUUCAGGGAAGGGACCAUCUUCAGGGACCACCUUCAGGGAAGGACCAUCUUCAGGGAAGGGACCACCUUCAAGGAAGGGACCAUCUUCAGGGAAGGGACCAUCUUCAGGGACCACCUUCAGGGAAGGGACCAUCUUCAGGGACCACCUUCAGGGACCAUCUUCAGGGACCACCUUCAGGGACCAUCUUCAGGGACCACCUUCAGGGAAGGGACCACCCUUCAGGGAAGGGACCACCUUCAGGGACCAUCCUCAGGGACCACCUUCAGGGACCAUCCUCAGGGACCACCUUCAGGGACCACCUUCAGGGAAGGGACCACCUUCAGGGACCAUCCUCAGGGACCACCUUCAGGGACCAUCCUCAGGGACCAUCUUCAGGGACCACCUUCAGGGACCAUCCUCAGGGACCAGUUUCGGCCAGCUGAGGAUCACGUUCACCUCUUUACCAGAGAGAUGAACACUCCGAGCACCCGUCCACGUUAG
This 1083-nucleotide long non-coding RNA is filed under the name Takifugu rubripes (torafugu). RNAcentral's name for it is "lncRNA (ENSTRUG00000028516.1)". The record is from RNAcentral. Lineage: Eukaryota; Metazoa; Chordata; Actinopteri; Tetraodontiformes; Tetraodontidae.